This 610-nucleotide ribosomal RNA is filed under the name uncultured archaeon. RNAcentral's name for it is "bacterial SSU rRNA". It matches the Rfam family "Archaeal small subunit ribosomal RNA", at positions 13 to 629 of the family's 1478-position model. The record is from RNAcentral.
CCUGCCGGACUGACUGCUAUCGGAUUGGUACUAAGCCAUGCGAGUCGUUGUAGCAAUACAAGGCGGACUGCUCAGUAACACGUAGUUAACUUAACCUAUGGAUGGGCAUAACCUCGGGAAACUGAGAAUAAUACCCAAUGGACCACAGUGCCUGGAAUGGCCUGUGGUUGAAAUGAUACUAUCGCCGUAGGAUAGGACUGCGGCCUAUCAGCUUGUUGGUGAGGUAAUGGCCCACCAAGGCUAUAACAGGUACGGGCUCUGAGAGGAGGGGCCCGGAGAUGGGUACUGAGACACGGACCCAGGCCCUAUGGGGCGCAGCAGGCGAGAAACCUUUGCAAUGUGCGAAAGCACGACAAGGUUAAUCCGAGUGUCUCCUGCUAAAGGAGUCUUUUGUCAGUUGCAGAAUCACUGGUGAAUAAGGGGUGGGCAAGUUCUGGUGUCAGCCGCCGCGGUAAAACCAGCACCUCGAGUGGUCAGGAGGUUUAUUGGGCCUAAAGCAUCCGUAGCCGGUUGCAUAAGUUUUCGGUUAAAUCUAUGCGCUUAACGUAUAGGCCGNCGAAAAUACUGUGCAGCUAGGGAGUGGGAGAGGUACCCGGUACUCGAUAGGAAG